UCUCCGUAGGUGAACCUGCGGAGGGAUCAUUACCGAAGUUACCCGUCAAAACCCUUUGUGAACGUUACCUCUUGCCGCGUUGCCUCGGCGGGAGGCGGUGGGAAGUCUCUCCGGAGGCUCCCGCCGUCCCCGCCGGCAGCGCCAAAACUCUAUUUGCACAGCGGACUGUAUGUUCUGAUUUAUAAAAAAAACAAGUUAAAACUUUCAACAACGGAUCUCUUGGUUCUG
RNAcentral lists this unclassified non-coding RNA (228 nucleotides) under soil metagenome. Its description in RNAcentral is "partial contains small subunit ribosomal RNA, internal transcribed spacer 1, and 5.8S ribosomal RNA". The record is from RNAcentral.